GGCUGCAACUCGCCUACAUGAAGUCGGAAUUGCUAGUAAUCGCGGAUCAGCAUGCCGCGGUGAAUACGUUCCCGGGCCUUGCACACACCGCCCGUCACACCAUGGGAGCCGGUAAUACCCGAAGUCAGUAGUCCAACCUCGUGAGGACGCUGCCGAAGGUAGGAUUGGCGACUGGGGUGAAGUCGUAACAAGGUAGC
RNAcentral lists this ribosomal RNA (197 nucleotides) under uncultured bacterium. RNAcentral's name for it is "partial 16S ribosomal RNA". It matches the Rfam family "Bacterial small subunit ribosomal RNA", at positions 1303 to 1500 of the family's 1533-position model. The record is from RNAcentral.